Molecule: long non-coding RNA, 435 nt
Organism: Fundulus heteroclitus (mummichog)
Lineage: Eukaryota; Metazoa; Chordata; Actinopteri; Cyprinodontiformes; Fundulidae
Exons: 3
Source: RefSeq, a predicted model, not a curated record
CCUUCCUGUUCUCUCUCAGAGCACCUACAGUAUAAAUAUGCUUGAAAACCAACUCAUGUUAAACUUUUGAGCCUGAUACCAGCAGAUACUUUACUUUACUAGAAGUAGCAAACAGAAAAAGGAUGGCUGGAGGAUGGUCAGCCCCAAAGACAGCGGAUGAAGAAGUUUGCAUGCUUACUAAAUGGAUGUGGAACAUUUCAGAAUCAAAAACAGGCAGAAAAUACAAGGAAUUCAAUGCAGUUGAAUACCGGUCACAGGUUGUGGCAGGGUAUAACUAUCUCAUCAAGGUUCAGGUUGGAGAAAAUGAUUACAUCCAUCUGAUGAUCUUCCAAAGCCCUCUGCUGGGGGACACAUUUACAACACAAUUUCUAGGAGCCAAUGGUGGCUACAAACAAGACGAUCAUCUUGAUCCAUUCAAAACAUCUAGCUAAAGUG